Molecule: unclassified non-coding RNA, 246 nt
Filed under: Glomus sp.
Lineage: Eukaryota; Fungi; Glomeromycota; Glomeromycetes; Glomerales; Glomeraceae
Description: partial contains 5.8S ribosomal RNA and internal transcribed spacer 2
Rfam family: 5.8S ribosomal RNA (bases 1-71)
Source: RNAcentral
GUGAAUCAUCGAAUCUUUGAACGCAAAUUGCACUCUCUGGUAUUCCGGAGAGUAUGCCUGUUUGAGGGUCAGUAUAUAUAUAAAUCGCAGUGGUUGCGGCCUUUCUUGGUGACGUACCGGAUUUGGGUCGUCUUGCCUUCGGUUAAGUGAUCUAAAAUUCUGCAUGAUUUUUGCGAACGUAUUUAAAUGACUUUACGUACGUUUGAGAGAUCGAAUACUGGGUGUGGGCAGCAUCAUGAUUCGUGC